AUAGGCAUUAUGUUUUUGGACGGGUGUGUAACACAGUGGUCUGCCCUGGAAGAGAAAUGUGUGCUCAGAAAUGGAUAUAACCCAUGGUACCAAAAACAGAGCAGAAAACCCCCUCUGUGUACAAAUUGAAAUCUCCUAAAUCGGUUGACAAUCUGACAAAUUCUGUGUGCCUUAUCACAGAUUUUCCAAGCCCCAACAAAACUUUAAACAUUGAUGGGGAAGUAGUAGAUCUGAAUGUCGUGGCUGUGUUGGACAAUUCAACAAAUAAUGUCUGGAGAUACAGUACAGUCAUAUGGGAUAACAACAACAAAGAUGUUGCCUGUAAUGGGAAAUAUGAUGAUAAGGAUUUCUAUGCAAAAUCUGACACAGAUAACACUGAGGAGACUUGCUCGUCAUCAGUCUCCAUUGAUGAGAAUUUCAAAACAAAUCCAAGCUUGAACACAAUAUCUCUAACAGUGCUUGGAUGGAGGUUUUUUACAGCCAAAUCUAUUGUAUUCAAUCUCAUAAUAACCGCACAACUUUGGUCAUCAUAAGGAAUUGAUCUUCUGGACAUAUGGACUAUCAUCUCUUUUCUCAAACUUACUUGAAACAUAACUGUAAUGUUAUGUCUCUAUGAACUGGAUUUGGAUACAUGUUUUUAUGCUGCACUUGUAAUAACUAUAGAUUUAUACAUAUGUAAAUACAUCAAUGCUAUUAUUAUAUGAAAAAAUAUAUACAUGGCUUUAGUUUUUGCCAAUGGUUCUCCAAGGUACCCCAGCGACCUAUAGAGAAAUGCACUUUGUGGGAGUUGGGAAGUUAGGCCCAGAUCAAUAAGUGAAGGCACAUACAGAUGUUAUAGAGAGUAAGCUAUUAGGGAAGAAUACCUAUUGUUUUGAUAACAUUCAUAUGCAACAAACAAUGUGUUCCUAAAGAUGAAAAGUAAACUCUUGUAAAUCUUAUAACAUCAACAAAAAAUAAAUAUGCUUUCAAAUGUCACAACAAUGAAUAUAUACAGUUCAUAUUCUUUACAUAUUCUUAUCAUAUGAUAACUUUAUUAUUCAGAAAUGUUUGUUAUUUUAAAUAGAUUGUAUGAUUACAUGUAUAGAUACUCUUCCAUUUAUAAAUGGAUUUUUAUAAAAUCUCUGUGAGGCCCCGUACACACGUCCGAGGAACUCGACGUGCCAAACACAUC
Non-coding RNA from Rana temporaria (common frog), 1171 nucleotides. NCBI's taxonomy places the organism in Eukaryota, Metazoa, Chordata, Amphibia, Anura, Ranidae. The record is from the annotation of a RefSeq genome assembly.